RNAcentral lists this unclassified non-coding RNA (304 nucleotides) under plant metagenome. RNAcentral's name for it is "partial contains 5.8S ribosomal RNA, internal transcribed spacer 2, and large subunit ribosomal RNA". The stretch from base 1 to 105 matches the Rfam family "5.8S ribosomal RNA", at positions 50 to 154 of the family's 154-position model. The record is from RNAcentral.
GAAAUGCGAUAAGUAGUGUGAAUUGCAGAAUUCAGUGAAUCAUCGAAUCUUUGAACGCACAUUGCGCCCCUUGGUAUUCCAUGGGGCAUGCCUGUUCGAGCGUCAUUUGUACCUUCAAGCUUUGCUUGGUGUUGGGUGUUUGUCUCGCCUCUGCGUGUAGACUCGCCUCAAAACAAUUGGCAGCCGGCGUAUUGAUUUCGGAGCGCAGUACAUCUCGCUCUUUGCACUCAUAACGACGACGUCCAAAAGUACAUUUUUACACUCUUGACCUCGGAUCAGGUAGGGAUACCCGCUGAACUUAAGC